AAUGUAUUCCCUCCGUCCCAAAAUUCUUGUCUUAGAUUUGUUCAAAUACGGAGGUAUCAAGUCACGUUUUAGUAUUUAGGUACAUCUGUAUCUAGACAAAUCUAAGACAAGAAUUUUGGGACGGAGGGAGUAUUUA
Molecule: non-coding RNA, 136 nt
Organism: Triticum aestivum (bread wheat)
Lineage: Eukaryota; Viridiplantae; Streptophyta; Magnoliopsida; Poales; Poaceae
Source: Rfam